UUAUAGUCAUUUCCCUGGAAGUGGCAGCUGUGACAGUAAAGGAAGAAUCAGAAGAUCCUGAUUAUGAUUAUAUCACAUUCAAGACAGGGGCCUGCUGUGUCUCUCAGGCUGGAGGGCAGUGAUGUCAUUACAGUUCACUGCAGCCUUGAACUCCCAGGCACAAGUGAUCCUCUCAUCUCAGCCUCCCGAGUAGCUGGGAAUUACAGGCCUCCUAAAGUGCAAGAAUUACAAGUAUGAGCCACUAUGCCUGGCCCCCACCCUGCCUAUUGAGAACCAAAAGAAGGAACCAAAUUCUCCGUAGCUCAACUCGAGCCAUUUCCUGAUUUCUUCAUCAGGAAUGAGCUGGUUAUUGGGCUGUCCAGGCCUCUCAAGCAGCACAGAAAUGAGAAACAGGAUCUUGCUCUCUCACCCUGGAUGGAGUUCAGUGGUGCAAUCACAGCUCAUUGUAGCCUCAACCCCCCAGGCUAGCAAUCCUACCACGGCCUUUCGAGUAGCUGUGACUACAGGUGAGCGCCAUGACACUCAGUGAAUUUUCAAUUUUUCGGUAGAGGUGGGGCCCGGCUGUGUUGCCAGGGCUGGCCUUGAACUCCUGCACUCAAGGGAUUUUCCUGCCUAGGGCUUCCAAAGUAUUGAUAUUACAAGCAUGAGCCACUGUGCUCACUCUGUCUGGUUCUUAACUUCCUGCCUCCCUCUUCCAUAUUUAAAGAACCCUUGUAAUUACAUGGGCUCACCCAGAUACUACAGGAUAAUCUUGUUUCAAGGACAGCUGAUUAGUAACAUUAAUUCCAUCUGCACUCUUAAUAUCCCCCUUCCUCUGAAACUGUGCUGUGUAACCUAGGACGUGAGCAAUUGGUAGGGGGCAUUACUUUGGCCACCACAGUGACCAAAAGGAUUGGUGGGGGACAGGUUAAAGAUACAGGGAAGUUGGAGGAACAACUGACAAGUGAGGUUCCAGAGAGGGCAGGUGAAGAGGAGAUUCCAGCAGGGAAAUUAGAUUAUCACUUUCUUUUUCUUUUUUUUCUAAGACAGGGUCUCACUCUGUCACCCCUGCUGGAGUGCAGUGGCAUGAUCUUGGCUCACCACAGCCUAGACUUCCCAGGCUCAAGGGAUCCUCCCACCCCAGACUCCCAAGUAGCUGGAACUACAGUUCUGCACCACCACCAUUCCUGGCUGUUUUUUUUUUUUUUUCUUUUGUUAGUAGACACAGGGUCACACCAUGUUCCCCAGGCUGGUCUCUAACUCCUGGUCUCCAACUCCUGGUCUCAAGUGAUCCUCCUGGUUCGUCUUCCAAAAUUGCUGGGAUUAUAGGCCUGGGUCACCAUGCCUGGUCUCUGCUAGUUGUAUAUUUUAUUUUAUUUUAAGUUCAGGGAUACAAGUGCAGAUUUGUUACAUAGGCAAGCUUGUGUCAUGGAGGUUCAUUGUACAGAUUAUUUCAUCACCCAGGUAUUAAGCCUGAUACCCAUUAGUUAUUUUUUCCUGAUCCUCUCUCUCCUCCCACCCUCCUAGGUCUCUGUGUGUCUAUACAUUCUCAUCAUUUAGCACCCACUUAUAAAUGAGAAUGAGAACAUGUGGUAUUUGCUUUUCUGUUCUUGUGUUAGUUUGUUAAGGAUAAUGGUCUUUUCAGAAAUCUGUAACGAUACUUACUAAAAUGCAAGUGAUAUAUAAGUGAACUAUGAUAGGAAGCUAAUUGGCACAUUUCACCAUUUCAUCUCACCAACUUGUUAUGCUAAAGACCUUUGAAAAGUGUUACAUAAAAUUUCAGCAUUUUUAAAAAGUUAAAUUGUAGAUUUAAAUUCAAAAUUAUUAACUUCAUUUCAAAAUUUGCUUCACUGAUCUAUCACAAAGGAGAUAAAAAUAUAUUGUUAAUAUUGCUAUACUCAAAAUAGGUUAUGAUAGCUUGUUUUUUAAAAGAAUAUGCAUUCAUCAAGCAACUGGAGAUGUAAUGCCUGCAAUCAGCAUUCAGCAGAGGAAAGAGACAUUUUGUUUUUUUUAAAAAACUAUUUGUAUAUUAAGUACAGGAAGUCCUUGCUUGAUGUUGUUGAUAAAUGCUUGGCAACUGUGACUUUAAGCAACAUUACAUACGGAAAGUCUUUGAGUAACAUCAUUUUCUUCAAAAUUGUUUGGUUAUGCCAUUGAUAAGAAAAAAAUUGGUUUUGUUAUAUGUCAUUUUGAAUAGAUAUUUAGAAUUUCAAUGUAUUUUCCUAUACAAAACUAUUAUAUUUGGUAAAUUAAUUAGACCAUCCUCUUUGCGAAUAAAAUAUUUACCAAUUGUGAAGGGAAGAAAGGAUAGUGAUUUAUGGAGAGACAAGGAAGGUUGAAAUACAUGCUGAAUAAAAGAAAUGUUUAACUAUAUGGCACUGGAAACAAACAAUUUGAGUUUGAAGGACAUAUUUUCUCUCAAGGAUUAUAUAAUAUGAGAAAUUAAUCAGAAAUUGAAGCAAUGAAUUCAACCAAUUACGAAAAUUAGUAGAAUGGUAUGAAGUAUAAAUGAAGAAAAUGAAUUUUAAAGUAUAGAAAAUUUGGAACCAUGGUGUAUGUCCCACUUAACAACCAGCAUAAUAAAAAUUUGAUUGUGCAAAAAGUGAUUAUUAAAUUUACUAAUAGAAUUUGAUGAGGGUAGAUAUUGAAUGCUAGGAGAUGGGUAACAGAAAGUUUCAAUAAGGCAUUUUCUAAUAAUUUCAUAAACUUCUUAACUUUCAAUAGCUACUUGCUACCUCCAGUUUAUUGGUGGAUCUCCUGUCAUUGGGCUUCAUUAAAAUAAAAACAAAUCUGUGGCAUUUAUGUCAAGUCAAAAGAAUCUAUGCAUUCAGAGUUGUGGCAGGAACUGCAUAUGAAUAAAGGAGUCCCUUUACUACAUUCUAAGGAAGAAUUUGUAUGUUCUAUUACAGACAAUGCUUUGUUCUCAGCCAUGUCUGUCCUGAUAUGGCUAUCCAGAUAGACUUAUCUUCCAAUUCCUCUGACUCCGCAAAUCUUUUUUUGUGUCCUCUGGAAUUCAUGGCCAGUCAGCAGCAUAAUUCUGUAUAAUCUCAAUAUAUUUAUUUUAUUUGAAUGUUGCCCUAAUAGGAGAUUGUGUUGAAGACACAGCUUGUUCAGCAGCUCAUAUCAUUCACAUCUCCCUAUGCUUUCCUUCAAUCUAAUGUGAGUUCAUUUUUUAGCACUGCAGGUCCAAAAUGUUGAAUAGAUAGUUCGACUUUCAAGAUUUUUAGAUGCCUUCUUCCGCCCCUUUCAAUUGGCAAAUGCAUCAUAGCAAAAAUCUGAACAGAACAUCUAAUUUAUGUUCGUGUGCUUCCCUUCUUUCUGGAGUCUUGCAUCCUCAAGUCUCUGCUGCUUGGUAGCUCUCAGGUGCCCUCUAACACAUUAUCUUUCAUAUUUUACCCAGCCUUACUAAUUAGUCUAGCAAGAGGGAUGGUCAUAUUCAAGUUCAUGUACUAUAGCUAGAAGUAAAUAUCCUUGUGUUAGCUAUUAAGAUUUGACGAGGCAUGAGAAAUAAAGAUGCAAAAUUGUCCUCAUUUACAGAUGAUAUGAUUCAACACUUUCAGUAUACAGGAGCCAAGACUGAAAAAAAUGACUUAAAACAUGAUGAUAAAUUAUUAUGAUAGGUGAAUAAAAAACAAAAAUAAAUCGUUUGUAAUGUAUACAUUAUAUAAUUAGAAAACACCCUAUUUUGCAAAGCAAAAAACUUGAAACAGACCUCACAAUGUGUACGAUUUUUAAAGGGAAAAAUUAUAUACUAUUGGAAGAUUUAAAGUAAGUUGUUAACAAAUAGUAAGCAUGUAAUGUCUUGUAAUAAAAACACAACACCAUAAUGAUGACAAUUCUGUCAAUAUUAAUAUAUAAA
This is a long non-coding RNA of Homo sapiens (human), 3838 nucleotides long. RefSeq lists it as uncharacterized. Lineage: Eukaryota; Metazoa; Chordata; Mammalia; Primates; Hominidae. The transcript has 4 exons. The record is from RefSeq and is a predicted model, not a curated record.